RNAcentral lists this transfer RNA (73 nucleotides) under Tautonia sociabilis. It matches the Rfam family "tRNA". From Rfam's summary of the family: Transfer RNA (tRNA) molecules are approximately 80 nucleotides in length. Their secondary structure includes four short double-helical elements and three loops (D, anti-codon, and T loops). Lineage: Bacteria; Pseudomonadati; Planctomycetota; Planctomycetia; Isosphaerales; Isosphaeraceae. The record is from Rfam by way of RNAcentral.
CGUCCCGUCGCCCAGCGGCAAGGGCACCCGCCUUACAAGCGGACAGGCGCAGGUUCGAGUCCUGCCGGGACGA